This 1451-nucleotide ribosomal RNA is filed under the name uncultured organism. Its description in RNAcentral is "SSU rRNA". It matches the Rfam family "Bacterial small subunit ribosomal RNA". The record is from RNAcentral.
GCUGGCGGCAGGCCUAACACAUGCAAGUCGAGCGGUAGCACAGAGAGCUUGCUCUCGGGUGACGAGCGGCGGACGGGUGAGUAAUGUCUGGGAAACUGCCUGAUGGAGGGGGAUAACUACUGGAAACGGUAGCUAAUACCGCAUAAUGUCGCAAGACCAAAGUGGGGGACCUUCGGGCCUCAUGCCAUCAGAUGUGCCCAGAUGGGAUUAGCUAGUAGGUGGGGUAACGGCUCACCUAGGCGACGAUCCCUAGCUGGUCUGAGAGGAUGACCAGCCACACUGGAACUGAGACACGGUCCAGACUCCUACGGGAGGCAGCAGUGGGGAAUAUUGCACAAUGGGCGCAAGCCUGAUGCAGCCAUGCCGCGUGUGUGAAGAAGGCCUUCGGGUUGUAAAGCACUUUCAGCGGGGAGGAAGGCGAUAAGGUUAAUAACCUUGUCGAUUGACGUUACCCGCAGAAGAAGCACCGGCUAACUCCGUGCCAGCAGCCGCGGUAAUACGGAGGGUGCAAGCGUUAAUCGGAAUUACUGGGCGUAAAGCGCACGCAGGCGGUCUGUCAAGUCGGAUGUGAAAUCCCCGGGCUUAACCUGGGAACUGCAUUCGAAACUGGCAGGCUAGAGUCUUGUAGAGGGGGGUAGAAUUCCAGGUGUAGCGGUGAAAUGCGUAGAGAUCUGGAGGAAUACCGGUGGCGAAGGCGGCCCCCUGGACAAAGACUGACGCUCAGGUGCGAAAGCGUGGGGAGCAAACAGGAUUAGAUACCCUGGUAGUCCACGCCGUAAACGAUGUCGAUUUGGAGGUUGUGCCCUUGAGGCGUGGCUUCCGGAGCUAACGCGUUAAAUCGACCGCCUGGGGAGUACGGCCGCAAGGUUAAAACUCAAAUGAAUUGACGGGGGCCCGCACAAGCGGUGGAGCAUGUGGUUUAAUUCGAUGCAACGCGAAGAACCUUACCUGGUCUUGACAUCCACAGAACUUUCCAGAGAUGGAUUGGUGCCUUCGGGAACUGUGAGACAGGUGCUGCAUGGCUGUCGUCAGCUCGUGUUGUGAAAUGUUGGGUUAAGUCCCGCAACGAGCGCAACCCUUAUCCUUUGUUGCCAGCGGUUCGGCCGGGAACUCAAAGGAGACUGCCAGUGAUAAACUGGAGGAAGGUGGGGAUGACGUCAAGUCAUCAUGGCCCUUACGACCAGGGCUACACACGUGCUACAAUGGCAUAUACAAAGAGAAGCGACCUCGCGAGAGCAAGCGGACCUCAUAAAGUAUGUCGUAGUCCGGAUUGGAGUCUGCAACUCGACUCCAUGAAGUCGGAAUCGCUAGUAAUCGUAGAUCAGAAUGCUACGGUGAAUACGUUCCCGGGCCUUGUACACACCGCCCGUCACACCAUGGGAGUGGGUUGCAAAAGAAGUAGGUAGCUUAACCUUCGGGAGGGCGCUUACCACUUUGUGAUUCAUGACAGG